This 851-nucleotide long non-coding RNA is filed under the name Homo sapiens (human). RNAcentral describes it as "non-protein coding lnc-GEMIN5-2:1". Lineage: Eukaryota; Metazoa; Chordata; Mammalia; Primates; Hominidae. The record is from RNAcentral.
AUGGCGAGUGAAAAAGUUGAGAAGCCAGAUACUAGGGAGAAGAAACCUGAAUCCAAGAAGGCUGAUGCUAGUGGCAACGUGACAAAGGGUAACCUCAAAGCUAAAAAGCCCAAGAAAGGGAAGCCCCACUGCAGCUGAAAUCCUGUCCUCAUCAGAGGAAUUGGCAGAUAUUCCCGACCUGCUAUGUGUUCCAGAAAGGCACGUACAAAAGGAAGUAUUCAGCGGCUAAAUCCAAGAUUGAAAAGGAGAAGUUUCUUGCAACUGUUACAAAACCAGUUGGUGGUGACAAGAAUGGUGGUGCCCCAGUGGUUAAACUUCACAAGAUGCCUAGCUAUCAUCUACCGGAGAUGUGUCUAAAAAGUUGUUGAGCAAAAAAAACCUGUAGUCAGCAUGCCAGAAAACUGCAAGCCAGCAUCUCUCCCAGGACCAUUCUGCUCAUCCUCACUGGGCGCCACAGAGGCAAGAUGGUUUUCCUGGAGCAGCUAGCUGGGCAAUGGCUUUUACUUGUGACCGGACCUCUGGUCGUCAAUUGAGUUUCUCUGCGAAGAACACACCAGUAAUUUGUCACUGCCACCUCUACAACAAUUGAUAUCAGUCAGCAAUGUGAAAAUCUCAAAACAUCUUACUGAUGCUUACUUCAAGAAGAAACUGCAGAAACCCAGACACCACGAAAGUGAGAUCUCUGGUGCAGAAAAAGAGAAAUAUGAAGUGAUAGAGUAGCGCCUGGUUGAUCAGAAAGCUGUGGACUGGCAAAUUUUACCAAAAUCAAAGCUAUUCCUCAGCUCCAAGGCUAACUGUGAUCUCUGUUUGCCCUGACGAGUGGAAUUUAUCCUCACACAUUGAUGUUCUAA